Molecule: ribosomal RNA, 352 nt
Filed under: uncultured bacterium
Lineage: Bacteria
Description: partial 16S ribosomal RNA
Rfam family: Bacterial small subunit ribosomal RNA
Source: RNAcentral
CCUACGGGUGGCAGCAGUGAGGAAUAUUGGUCAAUGGGCGAGAGCCUGAACCAGUCAAGUCGCGUGAAGGAUGAAGGUUCUAUGGUUUGUAAACUUCUUUUAUAUGGGAAUAAAGUGAGGAACGUGUUCCUUUUUGUAUGUACCAUAUGAAUAAGCAUCGGCUAACUCCGUGCCAGCAGACGCGGUAAUACGGGGGAUGCGAGCGUUACCCGGAUUUAUUUGGUUUAAAGGGUGCGUAGGUGGUUAAUUAAGUCAUCGGUGAAAGUUUGUGGCUCAACCAUAAAAUUGCCGUUGAAACUGGUUGACUGGAGUAUGUUUGAGGUAGGCGGAAUGCAUGGUGUAGCAGUGAAAU